CAGCAGUGGCAGACGGGUGAGUAACACGUGGGAACCUACCUAGGGGUACGGAAUAACUCAGGGAAACUUGUGCUAAUACCGUAUACGACCUUCGGGUGAAAGAUUUAUCGCCCCUAGAUGGGCCCGCGUUGGAUUAGCUAGUUGGUGGGGUAAAAGCCUACCAAGGCGACGAUCCAUAGCUGGUCUGAGAGGAUGAUCAGCCACACUGGGACUGAGACACGGCCCAGACUCCUACGGGAGGCAGCAGUAGGGAAUCUUGGACAAUGGGCGAAAGCCUGAUCCAGCCAUGCCGCGUGAGUGAUGAAGGCCUUAGGGUUGUAAAGCUCUUUCGCCAGGGAAGAUAAUGACGGUACCUGGAUAAGAAGCCCCGGCAAACUUCGUGCCAGCAGCCGCGGUAAUACGAAGGGGGCUAGCGUUGUUCGGAAUUACUGGGCGUAAAGCGCACGUAGGCGGUUUUCCAAGUUGGAGGUGAAAUCCCUGGGCUCAACCCGGGAACUGCCUCCAAAACUGGAUGACUCGAGUCCGAGAGAGGUGAGUGGAAUUUCCAGUGUAGAGGUGAAAUUCGUAGAUAUUGGAAAGAACACCAGUGGCGAAGGCGGCUCACUGGCUCGGUACUGACGCUGAGGUGCGACAGCGUGGGGAGCAAACAG
This 650-nucleotide ribosomal RNA is filed under the name uncultured bacterium. RNAcentral describes it as "bacterial SSU rRNA". It matches the Rfam family "Bacterial small subunit ribosomal RNA", at positions 90 to 775 of the family's 1533-position model. The record is from RNAcentral.